This 946-nucleotide long non-coding RNA is filed under the name Lepisosteus oculatus (spotted gar). Its description in RNAcentral is "lncRNA (ENSLOCG00000022428.1)". The record is from RNAcentral. Lineage: Eukaryota; Metazoa; Chordata; Actinopteri; Semionotiformes; Lepisosteidae.
GGAUUAAUUAAUUUCACCUUGAAUUUCUUUAGUAAUGCAGAUGGCCUGAAAAUAAAUAGUUUAACAAAACAUCUUUUGGCCCUGAGUCUUGGAUUAAAAAGUUUUUAACUUCAGAGUUGUGUGUUCAUUGGCCAUGGCAAACAUUUGCAGAUAUGGUGUUAACUUGUUUUAUCAUUUACUUAAGCAAUCAACUUUCACACCAUUUCCAGAUCCAAUGUGAUGUGUUCCUGUCACACAGAGACAAUAAUAUAGCAUUGGUGUCGUUCAGUCUAAUUUGAAUCCCACGCAAGAGAGAAAAAACAAAUCCAAACAAAAAGGCAUGAGGAAGGUAUGGUCUUCUGAUGUAUGUGAAGAAUACGUGCCUUUGUUCAUAUUAAGUGGAGCCUGCCUUGCUCCUGCUGUGCCACAGAGGAGAAUAGGCUCAAAUUGCCAGUGCUCUGCAUGGUAUGAUUGUUGCCUGAGUUUCAUUUCAUUUUCUUAACUGCACUCUUUGUCUCAGUCAGCAGCAGAAGUCCAGGCUGACAUUUGCAUGAUGGGGCACCGGGCUGACACAGACACUGAACAAGGGCAAAAAAUGGCCAAGGGCCAGAGGUUGCCAGGUGUGACCUCCAAGACCUCUUCUAUGGACUUGUGUUCUGCUGGGCCUGUGACGGAAGAACUUGCCAAAGCAGCUGUGUGGAAUUCCCCCACACAGCUGGAAAGGACAGUGACUUGCAGAUCGCUCAGCCACACUCAUUCAACAGCACAAACCUCUUGCCAAGUCCCAGGAAACUCUCCACUGGAGGUCAAAGGUCGAGCCAUCAGUAAAGACAUGUCCUGCUGUACCAUUGAGAAUGGAGACUCCAGAAGAAAAUGUGUCACACCUGUUACCCUGGAAAGUGAGAAGCAGGUAGAAUACUACUGGCCACAAGCCAAGCUUCCUGUGUUUCUCCCUUUCCCUGGAUAG